Molecule: non-coding RNA, 5413 nt
Organism: Meleagris gallopavo (turkey)
Lineage: Eukaryota; Metazoa; Chordata; Aves; Galliformes; Phasianidae
Source: RefSeq, a predicted model, not a curated record
AACAGCAAAUGAAAACUCUUGAGAGUUUGUUGCUGUAGUAAGGAGUCUCCACCCUGAAAACUCUGUAAAGGAAUGAUCUGCACUAUAUUUAAGAAGCAGCCCCCUUUCAAAGACAGAAUAUUAGGCAAGAUGGACCACACUUCUGCUUUGGAACAGCAAACUCAGUGCUCACAGAAAAGUGCUAGUAUUACGAGACCUUGCUCUGAUUCACCCGGUGGGUGCUGAGGGACCUGGGCGUUUUUGCUAGGACACUCUCCGUUAUCUUUGGUAAGUAGUGGGGAGUCUACAACAUGGCAUAUGAAAAGGUACGUUUGGGUUGUUGGGUAUAUUUGGGAUCUAUCUAUUUUAUGACAUUAUGCUCUAAAAGCCUAUUCUGAGUAUUUUUGUUGUUACUAUUAUUUUUAUUUAUUUAUAUAUAUAUGUAUAAUUAAUAUACAUCUUACUAAUAUUUUUAUUGUUACCCCAAACACCAAGAGUCUACCUCAAGUGUUGCCUUAUAGUAACAAGUAAAAGUCAGCUUUUCAGACUGUUGUAUAAAUCCCACACAAUACUGAUAAUCACUAUACGCUCACCCAGUUGAUUUUUUGUCAAACUGAUCCACGUUUAAGUAUUCUGUUUUAUUUUCUGUUUUAUUUUCUGUUUUUUCCUUACAAUAAAUCCAUAAAGAUAAGUCUGUGGAAGUAUUACUUUCAGACUAGAAAGCCUCAAGAUGAGUGGCCCUCUUAUGGAAAUAAGCAUAACCCAAGCAACAGCAUCAUAGCUGAGGUAUAUAGCUAUAUAUGCACUGACAUCCAUUUUUGGUGCUUGAGUUGCAAGCACUGCUAGAAAGAACCUGUGCUAUGUAGUUCUUAAUCUUAUUUCUAACACAAGUAACCUAUCUAUCUUGAAAAUAUUAUAGUUAUGGGUAAAAAAAUUUCUAUCUAGUAAUGAUGAAACUGUAAAGCAAAGUUUUGGAAAUAAAUUCUGAACAUAAAAUUUUUCUACCUUUUCGCAUAUUAGUACCAGAAUCAAAGGACAUCACUGUAUCACUGUAGUGAUAAUAUAAAGUGAAGUGUUAUUGUGGCUGAAUUUUCACAAUACACUACAUAUGACAUUGCACAUCAUUUACACUUACAAUUCAGGUUGAGGAGAUAAAGGAUGAGGAUUAUGUUUGUUUAUGCAUGAAUGUAUUGAGCAUCUGCGCAAACCUAUCUAGGUAUUUUAUUUGUGUUUCAAGAAAGUGGACCAUCUGCUCUGUCAUCAGCAAAGAUUUUGUUCUAAAAGCUACAACAAAAGAUCGCUCAUCUUGUGCACCCUGUUCUCACUUAACGUAAGUGUAAUUUUAACAGCAUCCAUCUGUAGGUAUGAUUAGUGACCUGAAGCAGAUACUACCUACUGAGUCAAUAUUACAACUGGAGAUGUAGUAAGCGGAAUGACAAUUAAAACAUUUUUCCAUAUAGAGCAUCGAAGUCCUAUUUAGUGUACGUGAACAAAGUACUUACUGAUCCACUUGCUUUAGUCCUCUCUUUCUUGUUUUGACUCUAUUAAGAACUAGAAAGUGUAAAAUGAUGUGUACUGCUUAAAACGGUCCUUCCAUAUAAUUGUCAUACAGACUCCUUAGACACCUAUAAAACCCAGAGGGAGGGUCUCUGUAAGGGAAAUAACCUACAGGAAACGCUUUCCUGUCUGUGGUAACAACAGCUAAGUCUUAAUAUUUGAGUUUGUCAGAUCAAAGUACUGGCUGGCUUCAGAGGCCAAAGAGUGACUGACACAGUAUUUAAGGAGUUUCAGGCCAUGACAUUUGAAAAACGACAAAUAUGGAUUUUGACUGAUUGUCUUCAGUAAUUGUUGUAGGGGCGAGAUUAAUCUACUAAAUUCAAAUACACAGAACGCUGGAGAUAUUUCAGACCGGCGUCUACAGUGAGAAGUAGAAGAAUGAGAGACCACCUACCUCUCGCAAAGCAGGGAAAGACAGAAGCCCUAAAUGAUAUUUAUCUGCAGGUGAUAUUUUAAUAAUCUGCUUUUCCUCUUAAGCUUUCCUGAGGCUUGGAGCCACGGCCAAGUGACAAGGGUUUCUUGUGUACAAGGUCUUUGGGCACUGCCUUGGUUUUGCCUUCCUGUUGUCCAUACUCUAACAGCUGCAGGGGAUUUCUCCAGACCUCAGAGAAGUCACAGUAGCUUAAUAGCUCAGCCGGAAACCACUGGGAAAGACAGGCUUGUGGCAUUUAAUAUGUAUCUGACAAUUUUUAUAACUUACUUACGGAAUAACUAGUUUGAACACAUCAAUUGUUUGGAUACGUGACAUAAGUAUACUUACUGAACAAACUACUUUCCUUCACACUAAAAUUUUCAAGGUAAUGGUGAGUAAUAAUUUUGGAGGUCGAUAUUAAGUAGAAUUGAGUGCAUCCAGAGCACAACUGCAAAUCUCUCGAAGCUGUUGCUAACCAUGCAAAACUACUUCCUCUAUGACAGUUUACUGAGUGUAAAAUCAGUAUUCGAAGAACCUAAGUAAGGUAUUUAUUGCAAUUUGAUGAGAUGCUGAGCAAAGCUGAUAUUUCAGUUACAUACACUAGAAAUGAACAUACAGAUGAUCCCGUCUGUACUAUAAAUAUAGGUACAACAUUGUAUUUCUGUAUAUCUUUGUAAUAGAUAAUAUAUACACAUUUGGAACUGUGGUAGUAAUGUCUUUCGUUUGCGCAGAUGGAAUACUUCCAAAAUCAGUGGCAGAACCGAGAUAGGUUUAAUAGACUAUUUCUUUUCCGCUGCAUAGUUUCUAAAGUAAACAGCAGCAUAAAUAUAUGUAUAAAAUAACGAGAUUGUGAGCGUGACCUCAACAUCACCGUGAACUUUUUAUUUUUAAAUUGCUAGAUACUUGCAUUAGAAAAUGUAUCCAUUCCUGCAUUUGACACAAGUAUCUUUGUUUGCUUUUUUGUGGGGAGAAAUAUCUAUUACUUUUUUAAAAUGAUAGAAAAUUAUAAGGAACUAUAAAAAUUAUAGGGAACUAUAGUCUGAAGAGGCAUUGCCAAGGUGUUUCGCAACAGUACAUACCUAAAACUCUAAAGUAAUUUUAAUUAUUCCUUCAUUUUUAAUCAGAAAAUUAGGUUUCCAGUUAUAGAAGAUUUGUGCUGUGUAUUUUCCUUAGAUUUUUUUCAUUAGAUCUGCUCUAAAUAUAGCUUUAAAAUAUUAACUUUAUUGCACAACAGUUAAAGCAUAUAAAGUCAUCGUGGUUUGAGGCAGUAUUAAAAAAGCAUGAUCAAGAGCACUAGGUUCUGUCUAGAGGUGAUAAAGAAGUCAAAAAGCAAUAACAUGAUGAGAAUGGACCAUUGUGACAAAGAACCUGUCUCAUUCUCAUAAGAUGAAUUUCUUGACACCAAGUUGAUGUUUACUCUUUGCUGCUAUCUUUGGCAUUUAGAUUGCAACUUUAUCCACAGUUGCGCUCAACCUACUGAAGGAUUCCCUAACAGUAGGGCACGGUCUCUUGAAACAGAUACGGCUAAUACCGUGUCUCUGAGAAUAUAACAUAUUUGCGUUAUUUAUGAUAUCAUGUUGAGCUUAGAUUCACUCAAAUCAAGAGGUCCUUUCUUGCCUACAGGAUGCGAGGUUUCAGCUGCCUCCGGUGCAUGAGAUGAGCGAUUAGAGUGCUCUCCUGAGAAGUUGAUACGGAGAGAUAAGGCUUAAGACUCCUUAAGAUUGGAGGGCUUUGGUUCUCUGCUCCUGUAUUUUAAAACAUCGCUGUACUAGGCAGCAGAUUAAAUGGUGGGACAGGAAAGGUGUCCUCUGCCUUUUGUUGAAAAUGUGCCAUUGACUGUCCAAAGUUCCGCUUCAGAGAGACAGAGACUAGGCUGAUUCAGUGCCUAGUAGUGCAGCUUCCUUUCAGAGUGGGAACGCUGGGUCUCUGGCUUCGAUAAGCAGCUGAAAAACUUUUCAGCUUUGUGUUUCUUCCCAAGAAGAGCGCUACAGUUUCACAUUCUGAAGCAUAAGAACGUUCUACAGAAACAUCCAUAGCUCCUCUACAAGUGAUAAUUUUCUGAGGCUUUCAUGACACAGCCUAUUCCUGCCUGAGUUUGCCCUGACCAACUGCCUGAUUUGGAAGGCUGACAACUAGGCAACUCCAGGCUGUUCUUGCCUCAAUUACCUUUCUAAUACAAAUUGGUCCCCAGUAUAAGUCGCUGUGAUAAUUUAUAUUUUUCAGAUGUUUCUAUCUUAGUAGGAGAAGAAAUGAGGUGUAUAACUGCAGAUACAAAUAGAAGCGUCCUUAUUUCUCUAUUAACUUUAAAUUGCGCUCAGUUGACUGGAAUUAAAACAAUUGCUUCAUUUCGUAAGUGACUAUCCUGUAAUCAGAUACCAAACAGACUUGUCAAUUCUCAUGUUUUCUUUAUGUGACUUCUCAUAGAACGGCUUGGGUUCGAAGUGACCUCACGGAUCAUCAAGCUCCAACCGUCCUGCCGCAUGCAAUGCCACCAGCCUAUAUAUCUAAUACUAGACCAACUUGCUCAGGACCCCAUCCAACCUAGUCUUGAACGCCUCCGGGGACGGGACAUCCACAGCCUCUCUGGGCAGCCUGUGCCAGCACCUCACCACUCUAUUGCACUCACAGGGCGACUCCCUGGCUCCAGGCUCUGCACCGAAAUCAGCUGUAGUGCUCACUGAGCUGCGGCAGCGAUGUUGUCUCCUGCUGAAAUCCCUGAACUCCAGAACAUCCUGCAGCACGGUCUGUGGCCCGUGGCUGGGCUUCUUGGUAAGAAAUUGGAUUUUUUCCAUUCUCUUUCUUUUCUAUCCAAAUCUGAGGUCGCCUUGCAAUACUGUAAAUAUUCAGAGUAGCCACGUGGAAGCAAAGUCUAUACCAGCAAGGUAGUGAGGGGAGAAGACAAAAAUCACAUUUGCUUAAAAAGAACUGCAGUUUCUGGCAUUUUUGAUGAGUAGAAGGGAGUGGGGAGAGUUCAGUCUACAGGCAAUUUACUGGGUAAAAUAAAUUGGUAUUCCGUAAAAAUUAUUGACUUUGUUAAGAUAAAGGUGAAUUAAAAGUCCUUUUGUCUGUUAAAUCAUUCAGGCACCUCCACAGGUGAUGUUAGAACUCAAUAAAGAUACAAGUCAUUAUUUCAUAUAUUUUAAGGAAAAUACACAUGCACAAAAAAAGUGACUGAAUCUGAUCAUUCUGAUCUGAGUUCCAAUUUUUCUUUUUUUCCUACCAGUUUCUACUUGAUCUAAAUGAUGUUUUUGGAUGUAGAAUAAAUAAGAGGCUGUACCACCGAUAUCUCUGAAAUUACAGAAUCAAAAAAUCAUAGGGGUUGAGAGGGACCUCUGAAGAUUAUAGAUGUCCAGGCCUCCUGCUAAAACAGUUCCCUACCGUAGGUCACACAGGAAGUGUCUAGACAGCUUUUGAAUAUCUCGAGAGAAGGAGAUAUCCGCAAUCCUCCUGGACAUCAUCCUCAAU